This 969-nucleotide long non-coding RNA is filed under the name Ricinus communis (castor bean). RNAcentral's name for it is "long non-coding RNA (RCOM_LNC002076)". The record is from RNAcentral. Lineage: Eukaryota; Viridiplantae; Streptophyta; Magnoliopsida; Malpighiales; Euphorbiaceae.
CUGUCAAAGUAAACAAAAAUGGAUCUUCUUUCGAUGCUAAUGUCUUCUUAACUAGUGCUUCUAUCGUAAGAAACCUUGAUACAGAUUUGUCUUACCAAACAUCAAAUUCUUCUUAUUCCAUGAUACUUCAACAGAAAAACACCAUCGCAUUUAAGGUGGAACUUAGCUAAGUUUUCUUUCCACCCACACAAGAAACAAUCUCAUUUCUAAGACAGAAUAGAAAAUCUCUCAUUUUAUUAAUAAUAAUGGCCAACCACACAAGUUAUAUUACAAAUCAUCAUAAUCCUAAAUUAACAACAUAUAAAGAAACAAAAAUCAACAAUGUAUAUAUAAUAUCAAACCCAUCAACCAUAAAAGAGAGAAAAACAAAAAAUCCAUUUUCCAAAUAUUACAAACACUCUAUAUAUAAACUCCAAGGGAACGAACCAAAUAUAUACCUCAUCUGAAAACUCUACAAUUUAGUGCAAGAAAAUGGCAAAAAGAGACACGAUAAUAGAAGAACAUAUAAAAUUGACAGAAACCGGCAAGGCGAAUCCGGCUCCGGUGUCCAUUGCAGGUGUAGGAGAGAUAUCUUGUGCCAUUACUGCAAAAGUGCACAACAAAAAUAAUGCUAGAAGGAUGUGAACAGUUGAAGCUCCAAAAUUUGCCAUUUUGCUUAAUUACCAAAAGGCUAUUUUGGAGGAGGAGAAGAAAGGGAGAAGAGGAUUAGUGCAAGGGUUGAGCAAUGAUUUUGUAUUGGUAGGGAAAGAGUAUGAGACUAUGAAUUUAUAGGGAGUUAUGUUGCCUUUGUUAUGAAGGGUUGUGGGAGCCAUGCACAGUUGUAGACCAAGUGAUGAUGCAAUCAUCUAUGGAUUUGGAGUAUCUCCAUGUAUUGACGUGGUAGUAGGUGAUUGGUUCUUGCAUCUUCUUAAAAUGAGCCUGGCUAGCGCAUGGCUAUUGCCACUCGUCCACAGGUAUUCCGCAUCCCCG